RNAcentral lists this ribosomal RNA (253 nucleotides) under uncultured bacterium. Its description in RNAcentral is "partial 16S ribosomal RNA". It matches the Rfam family "Bacterial small subunit ribosomal RNA", at positions 524 to 776 of the family's 1533-position model. The record is from RNAcentral.
UACGAAGGGUGCAAGCGUUAAUCGGAAUUACUGGGCGUAAAGCGCGCGUAGGUGGCCUUGUAAGUCGGAUGUGAAAGCCCCGGGCUCAACCUGGGAAUGGCAUUCGAGACUGCGGGGCUGGAGUUUGGGAGAGGGUGGUGGAAUUCCCGGUGUAGCGGUGAAAUGCGUAGAGAUCGGGAGGAACAUCAGUGGCGAAGGCGGCCACCUGGCCUAAAACUGACGCUGAGGCACGAAAGCGUGGGGAGCAAACAGG